AUUGACGGCAUUUUUAUUAGCAAGCCUAAAGGAACAGCUGGAAAAGAUCUAAUGGCUCCACAGUGCACAAAGAUCAAGCAUCUUCAAGCAGAAAUAUCGCACUUGCGAAAAAAAGGACAAUCUUUCAAAGCAAGGUUAAAAGGUGGUGCAGAUCGAUCAAUCGAAUUUUGUCCGGAAAAUUAACAUAUUAUGUGGGUGAAGACGAAACAAAAACAGCCGCCCAACAAUAUUAUGAUAAACAUAAACAUUAUAAAAAUAAAAAGUAAUAUGCAAA
This is a long non-coding RNA of Leptidea sinapis, 274 nucleotides long. RefSeq lists it as uncharacterized. Lineage: Eukaryota; Metazoa; Arthropoda; Insecta; Lepidoptera; Pieridae. The transcript has 2 exons. The record is from RefSeq and is a predicted model, not a curated record.